UACAGAGGGUGCAAGCGUUGUCCGGAAUCACUGGGCGUAAAGGGCGCGUAGGCGGAUGUGCCAGUCAGGGGUGAAAUCCCGGAGCUCAACUUCGGAACUGCCUCUGAUACAGCACGUCUUGAGUCCGGAAGAGGUGGGUGGAAUUCCUAGUGUAGAGGUGAAAUUCGUAGAUAUUAGGAAGAACACCGGUGGCGAAGGCGGCCCACUGGUCCGGUACUGACGCUGAGGUGCGAAAGCGUGGGGAGCAAACAGG
RNAcentral lists this ribosomal RNA (253 nucleotides) under uncultured bacterium. Its description in RNAcentral is "partial 16S ribosomal RNA". It matches the Rfam family "Bacterial small subunit ribosomal RNA", at positions 524 to 776 of the family's 1533-position model. The record is from RNAcentral.